GCGGGCAUAGCUCAGUGGUAGAGCACAUGCUUAACAUGCACGAGGCCCUGGGUUCAAUCCCCAGCACUUCUA
RNAcentral lists this transfer RNA (72 nucleotides) under Camelus bactrianus (Bactrian camel). It matches the Rfam family "tRNA". Rfam says of the family: Transfer RNA (tRNA) molecules are approximately 80 nucleotides in length. Their secondary structure includes four short double-helical elements and three loops (D, anti-codon, and T loops). Further hydrogen bonds mediate the characteristic L-shaped molecular structure. tRNAs have two regions of fundamental functional importance: the anti-codon, which is responsible for specific mRNA codon recognition, and the 3' end, to which the tRNAs corresponding amino acid is attached (by aminoacyl-tRNA synthetases). tRNAs cope with the degeneracy of the genetic code in two manners: having more than one tRNA (with a specific anti-codon) for a particular amino acid; and 'wobble' base-pairing, i.e. permitting non-standard base-pairing at the 3rd anti-codon position. Lineage: Eukaryota; Metazoa; Chordata; Mammalia; Artiodactyla; Camelidae. RNAcentral also lists the same sequence under 2 other names. The record is from Rfam by way of RNAcentral.